AUUCCUCCAACAAAUAAGACAGAGAACUGCCUGUUUUUUUGGUUCCCUAUCGAAGGACGGAGCUUGGAACAACAUUUAUAACGGUUUAAUGACACAAAGAGUAAAAGGUGCUGCAGCCCAUCCAUCUGCUGAAUGUUGCCAAGUAACAGCCAUCCAUGGAACAUGGAAAAAUGAAUUCACCCGGCCAGGCCCAAAUUGUCGACCCACAGAACAUGAGAUGCAGAAGCUCUAACCAAGGAUUCCUAGAGAGAAAGAGUAGAGCCAUGAGACGAAGGGAGCCUGGGUCCCUAAAUCACCAUGUCGGAGCUCUUCAGCGAAAAGCUGACGCUGAGCUGCUACGUGAGCAAGAGACACCUUGCCCAGCUAUAGUGCAGUAAUAUCAUCAUGGCUCACUGCAAUCUCGACUUCUCCAGCUCAAACAAUCCUCCCACCUCAGCCUCCCAAGCAGUUGGGACUACAGGCACGUGUCAUUACACCCAGUUACAGAAAGCUUUUCAUGGUUCACUGACUGAGGACAAUCAACCCCUUCAUAAUCCAUAACCCAAAGAUUGAACUGUCUGAGAACACCAGAGAAAGACUGCUCCUGCCAUCCACAUUGCAGCAAACCUUCAGGACCUUGAACCUUGGGUUCAUAGUCUUACAACUCAGAAGCAUCCCUCCACACUCUCAAAACUGGACAUCCUUGGGAACCCUUAAGGUAAAGCUAACCAGGGAAGAUUUUCUGCCCAGAAGAUGGCAUCCUUUUCCCCAAGAUCACAGAAGCUUUUUCCCAAGAUCACAGAUCAAGACUUCUCUAGUACCAUGAGACUCUUAUCUUUGAAUUUUUCCCCUUGCUAUGCCUCUAUAAACAAUAGAAGUAAAAAUGGAAUCUGUUGUGUGCACUCAUGGGGUAUACUUUUAUUUGUGAAGGAUGCUGCAGCCAUGCAGACUUAUACAUGGAUAACAGAUAUGGUUUGGCUCUGUGUCCCCACCCAAAACUCAUGUUGAAUUGUAAUCCCCAGUGUUUGUGAGGACUGGUGGGAGGUGAUUGGAUCAUGGUUGUGGUUUCUAAUGGUUUAACGUGAUCCCUUUAGUACUGUCUUGUGAUAGAGUUCUCAUGAGGUCUGGUUGUUUAAAAGUGUGUGGAACCUUCCUGUUCACUCUUUCUCCUGCUCUGACAAGUGAAGAUGUGACUGCUUUUCCUUCAACUUCUGCCAUGAUUGUAAAUUUCCUGAGGCCUCUUCAGCCAUGCUUCCUGUACAACCUGCAGAACUGUGAGUCAAUUAAACCACUUUUUUUUUAUAAAGUACCCAGUCUCAGGUACUUCUUUAUAGCAAUACAAGAACGGACUAAUACAAUAAACUUAUGCCUUGAUAGAUGGAAGAUGAAGGCCCAAUGUAGGUGAGAAAUUUUAAUGGUAUGUACAUUGCUCCAUAAUCAGUCAGAAAGAACUCCUCUCAACCUACAGUGUGGGUUAAAAGAACAUUGCCAGAAGGUCGUCAUUCUUCUAGAAGGGCAUCAUUUGUUAGGUACUUUUUUCCAUAGUUAGUAAAGGAGGCAAUGAUUAGAAAUUCAUUCCUCACCAUAGGCUUCAUAGCAGAUUCUCCUGUAAGAGCUGUGAUUACACAACAGACUUUAAAUUAUCUCAUGAAAGUGAUGCUGAAUAAUAGAAUUUCUCUAGAUUACUUCCUGGCUAAACAGAGAAGUAACCGUGCAGUUGCUGGCACUUGUUGCCCAUGGAGAAAUAUAUCACAUUGGGUAUUACAGAGAUUAAAUAGUAGGGGAUUAACGAAGAGACUGCUUAGUUAAAGCAAGUAGACUCUUUAUCUAGCUCAUUCUUUGAUCUAUUGAUUUUAGUUUGUUUGCUUUAUGGAGACCCUGGGUAAGAAGCAUACUCAAAACUCUUGGUAUUAUCCUCCUGAUAGUCAUAAUAGUAGUCUCCCUGGUGCACUGUGGUCUCUGAAAAGCUUUACAAGUUUGCAUGCAGCCAUCUCUAGAGUAUCAAGUGGUCUCUCUUCAACUGUAAUGACAAGAAUGAAAAAAUGUGUGACCAUGAGGGCACCAUAACCAUAAAUGACAUUCUGAGACUGGAAACCCAAAAUGAUGGUAACUGAGAGUGACACUAAGGCCAUAAGUGUUGGUCACACUCUUACCUAAGGAGCAUUUGACUAAAUGGGGGAUAUUUUUUAAAGACAAUUAUUGGAGGCCAUUUUUUUGGAACUGAGCUCAUGCAGUAGGCCCCAAAAGACCAGAUCAAACCAAAAUGGAGUCACUUAUGCUAAAUGUGACAUAAUCAAACUAAGACUUUAAGGAAACACAUAGAUCCUAGAAAAGACAGGUUUAGGUUUUUUUUUUUUUUUUUUUUCUGUAAACAGGAUGUUCCGGCAUAAGGAGAUACCCUCUACUGGAACCCUUUUAAAACAAUGACCUGAAGUCCUUGUUCCCAUCUUACAAAACCCGUAGUUCUAUUUUCCAGUGGGUUUCAAGAGCAAAUAAGUACAGUUACAAUGAUGAUAGUGCCAUCAAUCACUGAACUUUUGGUCAUCCUCUCAAAAUUGAGAGGAUGACCAAAAGGAGGGGAUUGUUAAAUCAAGUUUAGUCUAAAACUGCCUCCUUACAUAUUUUAAGUUUGGCCUAAAAGUUUCUCUGUACAUCAUGAAUCAUAGCCUAAAUAGAAGUGUAAACAGACUAUACUGUACUCUUGUGCCAAUCACUGAAUUUUGGUCAAUCAAAUGUGGCCAACUGUUUAAAUUGUGUUCAACUAAGACAAACACCGAGCUAUAACCAAUACAGCAGUUUCUGUCCCUCGCUUCUGAUUUGUGUACAUCACUUUCCUUUUUCUGUCCAUAAAUCUUCUACCACAUGGCUGCACCAGAGUCUCUGAGCCUACUCUGGUGUGGGAGGCUGCCUGAUUUGCAAAUCGUUCUUUGCUCAAUUAAACUCUUUAAUUGGGCUGAAGUUUUUCUUUUACCAUAAGGAAACUUUUUGUAUAAUUUAAAAAUCUUAAAAUUAUUUUUAAUGUUCCUUUGAUGUUUGGGUCAUUUCCAAUUACUAGAGGGUUAUGAUAUGGGAACACAUGUUUUAAAAAAUUAUGGAAUGUUUUCAGCUAUCAAAUGCUAACAUCUGAUAGUUGUUCAGGAUUUAUUGCUUCCUAGACUUUCACUAAAAUUUAAGGUUAUAAUUCUGUAUAUAAAAUGUGCUAAAGAAGAUGUGUUUUUAUUGAGGAAAGGAGUAAUUUUAUCUAAUUCAGAAAUUAUCUGUUUAUUCAAAUUAUGAAUUAUGAAAAUUUUUGUAAUAAAAUAAAAUGACUGGUUAUC
This 3296-nucleotide long non-coding RNA is filed under the name Homo sapiens (human). Its description in RNAcentral is "non-protein coding lnc-FAM172A-7:6". The record is from RNAcentral. Lineage: Eukaryota; Metazoa; Chordata; Mammalia; Primates; Hominidae.